RNAcentral lists this ribosomal RNA (497 nucleotides) under uncultured bacterium. RNAcentral's name for it is "partial 16S ribosomal RNA". It matches the Rfam family "Bacterial small subunit ribosomal RNA", at positions 28 to 507 of the family's 1533-position model. The record is from RNAcentral.
GAUGAACGCUGGCGGCGUGCCUAAUACAUGCAAGUCGAGCGAACAGACGAGGAGCUUGCUCCUCUGACGUUAGCGGCGGACGGGUGAGUAACACGUGGAUAACCUACCUAUAAGACUGGGAUAACUUCGGGAAACCGGAGCUAAUACCGGAUAAUAUAUUGAACCGCAUGGUUCAAUAGUGAAAGACGGUUUUGCUGUCACUUAUAGAUGGAUCCGCGCCGCAUUAGCUAGUUGGUAAGGUAACGGCUUACCAAGGCAACGAUGCGUAGCCGACCUGAGAGGGUGAUCGGCCACACGGGAACUGAGACACGGUCAAGACUCCUACGGGAGGCAGCAGUAGGGAAUCUUCAGCAAUAGGCGAAAGCCUGACGGAGCAACGACGCGUGAGUGAUGAAGGUCUUCGGAUCGUAAAACUCUGUUAUUAGGGAAGAACAAAUGUGUAAGUAACUAUGCACGUCUUGACGGUACCUAAUCAGAAAGCAACGGCUAACUACGUG